This 1489-nucleotide ribosomal RNA is filed under the name Bacteroides luti. Its description in RNAcentral is "bacterial SSU rRNA". It matches the Rfam family "Bacterial small subunit ribosomal RNA". Lineage: Bacteria; Pseudomonadati; Bacteroidota; Bacteroidia; Bacteroidales; Bacteroidaceae. The record is from RNAcentral.
AGAGUUUGAUCAUGGCUCAGGAUGAACGCUAGCGACAGGCCUAACACAUGCAAGUCGAGGGGCAGCACAAGGUAGCAAUACUGAGGUGGCGACCGGCGCACGGGUGAGUAACGCGUAUGCAACCUGCCUGUAACAGGGGAAUAGCCUCUUGAAAGAGAGAUUAAUGCCGCAUAAUACGAGAUUCGGGCAUCCGGAUUUAGUUAAACAUUUAUGGGUUACAGAUGGGCAUGCGUUUCAUUAGGUAGUUGGUGAGGUAACGGCUCACCAAGCCGACGAUGAAUAGGGGUUCUGAGAGGAAGGUCCCCCACACUGGUACUGAGACACGGACCAGACUCCUACGGGAGGCAGCAGUGAGGAAUAUUGGUCAAUGGACGCAAGUCUGAACCAGCCAAGUCGCGUGAAGGAUGAAGGUAUUAUGUAUUGUAAACUUCUUUUGUCAGGGAAUAAUGGGUGUCACGUGUGACGCAGAGGAAUGUACCUGACGAAUAAGCAUCGGCUAACUCCGUGCCAGCAGCCGCGGUAAUACGGAGGAUGCGAGCGUUAUCCGGAUUUAUUGGGUUUAAAGGGUGCGUAGGCGGUUUGUUAAGUCAGUGGUGAAAGUUUGCGGCUCAACCGUAAAAUUGCCAUUGAAACUGGCGAACUUGAGUACAGUAGAGGUAGGCGGAAUUCGUGGUGUAGCGGUGAAAUGCUUAGAUAUCACGAAGAACUCCGAUUGCGAAGGCAGCUUGCUGGACUGUAACUGACGCUGAGGCACGAAAGCGUGGGGAUCAAACAGGAUUAGAUACCCUGGUAGUCCACGCCGUAAACGAUGAAUGCUAGCUGUUAGCGAUAUACUGUUAGCGGCACAGAGAAAUCGUUAAGCAUUCCACCUGGGGAGUACGCCGGCAACGGUGAAACUCAAAGGAAUUGACGGGGGCCCGCACAAGCGGAGGAACAUGUGGUUUAAUUCGAUGAUACGCGAGGAACCUUACCUGGGCUUAAAUUGCAGUGGAAUAACGUGGAAACAUGUUAGCCUUCGGGCCGCUGUGAAGGUGCUGCAUGGUUGUCGUCAGCUCGUGCCGUGAGGUGUCGGCUUAAGUGCCAUAACGAGCGCAACCCUCAUCGAUAGUUACUAACAGGUUAAGCUGAGGACUCUAUCGAGACUGCCGACGUAAGUCGUGAGGAAGGUGGGGAUGACGUCAAAUCAGCACGGCCCUUACGUCCAGGGCUACACACGUGUUACAAUGGGGGGUACAAAGGGCAGCUACCUGGCGACAGGAUGCUAAUCUCAAAAACCUCUCUCAGUUCGGAUUGGAGUCUGCAACCCGACUCCAUGAAGCUGGAUUCGCUAGUAAUCGCGCAUCAGCCACGGCGCGGUGAAUACGUUCCCGGGCCUUGUACACACCGCCCGUCAAGUCAUGGGAGCCGGGGGGACCUGAAGUAUGCAACCGUAAGGAGCGUCCUAGGGUAAAACUGGUGACUGGGGCUAAGUCGUAACAAGGUAGCCGUA